CCUACGGGGUGCUGCAGUGGGGAAUAUUGGACAAUGGGCGAAAGCCUGAUCCAGCCAUGCCGCGUGUGUGAAGAAGGCCUUCGGGUUGUAAAGCACUUUCAGUGGGGAAGAAAGCCUUGGGGCUAAUACCCUCGAGGAAGGACAUCACCCACAGAAGAAGCACCGGCUAACUCCGUGCCAGCAGCCGCGGUAAUACGGAGGGUGCGAGCGUUAAUCGGAAUUACUGGGCGUAAAGCGCGCGUAGGCGGUCUGAUAAGCCGGUUGUGAAAGCCCCGGGCUCAACCUGGGAACGGCAUCCGGAACUGGCAGGGUAGGGGGCAGGAGAGGAAGGUAGAAUUCCCGGUGUAGCGGUGAAAUGCGUAGAGAUCGGGAGGAAUACCAGUGGCGAAGGCGGCCUUCUGGACUGACACUGACGCUGAGGUGCGAAAGCGUGGGUAGCAAACAGGAUUAGAUACCCCAGUAGUC
RNAcentral lists this ribosomal RNA (465 nucleotides) under Vreelandella stevensii. RNAcentral's name for it is "partial 16S ribosomal RNA". It matches the Rfam family "Bacterial small subunit ribosomal RNA", at positions 338 to 795 of the family's 1533-position model. Lineage: Bacteria; Pseudomonadati; Pseudomonadota; Gammaproteobacteria; Oceanospirillales; Halomonadaceae. The record is from RNAcentral.